This 774-nucleotide ribosomal RNA is filed under the name uncultured Neocallimastigales. RNAcentral's name for it is "partial large subunit ribosomal RNA". It matches the Rfam family "Eukaryotic large subunit ribosomal RNA", at positions 24 to 649 of the family's 3401-position model. The record is from RNAcentral. Lineage: Eukaryota; Fungi; Neocallimastigomycota; Neocallimastigomycetes; Neocallimastigales.
UAUGUGAUCGUCUCUCGCAUAUCAAUAAGCGGAGGAAAAGAAACUAACAAGGAUUCCCCUAGUAACGGCGAGUGAAGCGGGAAGAGCUCAAAUUUGAAAUCUUAAAGGGUUUCCCUUUACGAAUUGUAGUUUAAAGAAGUGUUUUCUGUUGAGGUUUUGGUAAAAGUUCUUUGGAAUAGGACAUCAUAGAGGGUGAGAAUCCCGUAUUUGACCUUUACUUUCAACUUUGUGAUACACUUCCAAAGAGUCGGAUUGUUUGGGAAUGCAGUCCAAAAUGGGUGGUAAAUUUCAUCUAAAGCUAAAUAUUGGCGAGAGACCGAUAGCGAACAAGUACCGUGAGGGAAAGAUGAAAAGAACUUUGAAAAGAGAGUUAAACAGUACGUGAAAUUGUCAAAAGGGAAGCGUUUGACACCAGUGUUGUUUUUCUGAAAAUCAAUUAAAGAACUGUUUAUGCUAAGUUGUUUAGACUUUAUCAGCUAUCUGCUUAGUUUUGAGCUUUUCUUUAAUGCACUUUUCAGUUAACAAGUCAACAUCAACUUCUUUUGCUGUAAAAAAGCUUGAGGAAGGUGGCUUGAGAUUCGUCUUAAGUGUUUAUAGCCUCUUGCCUAUGCAGUCGGAGAGAUUGAGGUCUGCAGCGUAGAUCCUUCGGGGCUAAAUGCAUUUGUGCUAAGUUAUAGCAUUUUAUAGACAACUUGUCGACUAUGAUUUGUCUUGUAGCUUACUCGCUUAUGUUAUUUUACCUACGCUUAGGAUGUUGAGUAGCGACAUACGCAC